UUCGGGGGACACAUCAGCGGCAGACGGGUGAGUAACACGUAGGUAACCUACCCCAGAGACAGGGAUAACGGUAGGAGACGANGGCUAAUACCGGAUGACCUCCGGAAGGAGGAAAGGCUCAGGCGCUCUGGGAGGGGCUUGCGGCCCAUCAGCUAGUUGGUAGGGUAAAGGCCUACCAAGGCGAAGACGGGUAGGGGGUGUGAGAGCACGGCCCCCCACAAUGGGACUGAAACACGGCCCAUACUCCUACGGGAGGCAGCAGGAGGGAAUAUUGCACAAUAGGCGAAAGCCUGAUGCAGCGACGCCGCGUGAGUGAAGAAGGCCUUCGGGUCGUAAAGCUCUUUUGUAGGGGAAGAGGAAGGACGGUACCCUAAGAAGAAGCGUCGGCUAACUACGUGCCAGCAGCCGCGGUAAGACGUAGGACGCGAGCGUUAUCCGGAAUUACUGGGCGUAAAGGGCCAGCAGGCGGCUUGGUAAGUUGUGCGUGAAAGCCUCGUGCUCAACGCGAGGAAGCCGGACAAUACUGUCAAGCUAGAGGGCAUCAGAGGGGAGUGGAAUUCCCGGAGUAGCGGUAAAAUGCGCAGAUAUCGGGAGGAACACCGAUGGCGAAGGCAGCUCCCUGGGAUGCACCUGACGCUAAGAGGCGAAAGCUAGGGGAGCGAACAGGAUUAGAGACCCUGGUAGUCCUAGCUGUAAACGCUGGGUGCUAGGUGUGGGACGUAGAAGUUCCGUGCCGGAGCAAACCGAUAAGCCCCCGCCUGGGAAUUCGGUCGCAGGCUAAACUCAACGAAUGGAGGGGCCCGAACAAGCAGCGGAGCGUG
Molecule: ribosomal RNA, 821 nt
Filed under: uncultured organism
Description: bacterial SSU rRNA
Rfam family: Bacterial small subunit ribosomal RNA
Source: RNAcentral